Dalotia coriaria is the source of this 1448-nucleotide long non-coding RNA. RefSeq lists it as uncharacterized. The transcript is spliced from 4 exons. The record is from RefSeq and is a predicted model, not a curated record. Lineage: Eukaryota; Metazoa; Arthropoda; Insecta; Coleoptera; Staphylinidae.
UAUAAAUAUGUGAAAUGUUUCGUCAUUUUAUCAGUUCCUAAGUUAACAUCAAAUUGAAAACUAUUGAAUUGAAUUGAAGUCAAUAUCGAAAUGAAAGUUUUUAUUAUUGUUGCCUUAUUUGGCAUGACUUUAUCCAUUGAUCCAUCUUCAGAACCACCAAGCAACGAUGAAUUUGUGAAAACGGUUCGUAAAGCAAUGGUCAGCUGUGAUUUUAAGGAGGGUUGUUAUAGGCAAUGUAUUGUUGAGACGAUUUGUUUGAUCGAUUCAAAUGGUGAUUUGCACAUUGAAGUAUUACCCGAGGAAUAUCAUGAGAAAAUAACGGCUUGUUAUGAAAGAUUUAAAAUUUAGGUGCGUGUGAAAGGGCUACAAAGAUAACCGGAUGUUAUCCAAAAUGGUAAUCAGUAGUUAUUUGAUAAAAAUAUAAAUAUAAAUAUAAAAUAAAAGCAUACAAAAUAUUUUUUGCUUUUUCGUGGUUGUAAACUAUAUUUUUUAAAUAAAAACUUGUUCAACAAAUAUUAUUUUAACAUUCGGUUAUAAAAACAUUAGAUAAUGAUGAAGCCCUUCCCACAAGAUUAAUAUAAUUAAUAGUUUUGAUUAAAGCAAUUGGAAAAUUUGAAUAAAUGUCAAAUUAACAUAUAAAAACGGAUGUUUUUCGUUACGCUUAUGAUUCCUAUUAUUCAAAUUAAUUAAAAAUUGCUUAUAAACAUCCAGAGAAUUUGUUUUCGAAACAGUUUCAAAUCUACUCUACGUCAAACAAGAAAUAAUUCAUCAUGAAAAUUCUCCUUAUAAUUGUAUUCGUUGGCCUAACUUGUGUGGUUGCUGAUCAAUCCGAAGAAGAAUUCAAAAAUUCAGUGGAUAAAGCAAUGAAAACAUGCGGACAGAAAACACUAUCCAAAGAGUGUAUGUUUGAAUGUAUCAUGAAAGAAUCCGGCAUGUUGGAUGCAAAUGAUAAUUUCCGUGAAGAGGUAAUUCCGGAAAGAUUGCGGGUGAAAGCAGUGGAAUGUUUCAACGAGACUAAUCAAUUCAGCGGCUGUGCUAGGGCUAGUGCUGUCGCCGACUGUUUUCCGAAAUAGUCGAAUAAUAUUAUUUUAAUUAAAACCCAUGUAUCUGUUAUUGUCGGAAAUGUAUAAUAUAGACCUUGCAUGUCGAUUCGUUAUUUCAAACAUGAAUAACCUCGAAUUAAUUUUAUUUGUAUAAAUACAGCCUGAUAUAAUACUAUCAUUGGUUGAUUUGUGGUCAAAAGUAUUGCAAGCAUUAAAAAUGAAAUUAUUUUUGAUUUUUUUGAGUUGUGCCCUUUUUGGCUUGGCAUAUUCCAAUGUAUUGGAGGAUAAAAUAUCUGAAAUAACGAAAGUAUGCAAAGAUGAAAAGGGCGACUGCUUCACAGAAUGCCUUUUUGAAGCGAUGGAUCUAAUCGACAAAGAUGGUAAUUUCCACGAGGAAAGACUCCC